RNAcentral lists this ribosomal RNA (253 nucleotides) under uncultured bacterium. RNAcentral describes it as "partial 16S ribosomal RNA". It matches the Rfam family "Bacterial small subunit ribosomal RNA", at positions 524 to 776 of the family's 1533-position model. The record is from RNAcentral.
UACGUAGGUGGCAAGCGUUGUCCGGAUUUACUGGGCGUAAAGCGCGCGCAGGCGGAUUGGUUAGUCUGAGGUGACAGCGCACGGCUCAACCGUGCGUGGUCCUUGGAUACUGCCAGUCUUGAGGUGUCUAGGGGAGAGCGGAAUUCCGGGUGUAGUGGUGGAAUGCGUAGAUAUCCGGAGGAACACCAGCGGCGAAGGCGGCUCUCUGGGGACAACCUGACGCUGAGGCGCGAAAGCGUGGGGAGCGAACCGG